RNAcentral lists this ribosomal RNA (1232 nucleotides) under metagenome. RNAcentral's name for it is "bacterial SSU rRNA". It matches the Rfam family "Bacterial small subunit ribosomal RNA", at positions 272 to 1494 of the family's 1533-position model. The record is from RNAcentral.
GGCUGCGAUGGUUACCGGGUGUGAGAGCAUGGCCCGGCUCACUGGGACUGAGACACUGCCCAGACAUCUACGGAUGGCCGCAGUCGAGAAUCUUCGGCAAUGGACGAAAGUCUGACCGAGCGACGCCGCGUGCGGGAUGAAGGCCUUCGGGCUGUAAACCGCUGUCAGUUAGGAGGAAAUCCAUGGGGGUUAUCCCUUAUGGUUGACCGAUUUUCAGAGGAAGGACGGGCUAAGUUCGUGCCAGCAGCCGCGGUAACACGAACCGUCCAAACGUUAUUCGGUAUCACUGGGCUUAAAGCGUGCGUAGGCGGCUUGGAAGGUGAGAUGUGAAAGCCCACGGCUCAACCGUGGAAUUGCGUUUCAAACCCUCAAGCUUGAGGAAGACAGGGGUGAUGGGAACUUAUGGUGGAGCGGUGAAAUGCGUUGAUAUCAUAGGGAACACCGGUGGCGAAGGCGCAUCACUGGGUCUUUUCUGACGCUGAGGCACGAAAGCUAGGGUAGCGAACGGGAUUAGAUACCCCGGUAGUCCUAGCUGUAAACGAUGAGCACUGGGUUGAGGGGACUUCCACAUCCUCUCGGCCGUAGCGAAAGCGUUAAGUGCUCCGCCUGGGGAGUAUGGUCGCAAGGCUGAAACUCAAAGGAAUUGACGGGGGCUCACACAAGCGGUGGAGGAUGUGGCUUAAUUCGAGAUACGCGAAGUACCUUAUCCUAGAUUUGACAUGCUUGAGAAUCCCUAUGAAAGUAGAGAGUGCCCUUCGGGGAGCUCUUGCACAGGUGCUGCAUGGCUGUCGUCAGCUCGUGUCGUGAGGUGUCGGGUUAAGUCCCUUAACGAGCGAAACCCUUAUCUCUAGUUGCCAGCGGGUAAUGCCGGGGACUCUAGAGAGACUGCCGGUGUCAAACCGGAGGAAGGUGGGGAUGACGUCAAGUCCUCAUGGCCUUUAUGUCUAGGGCUGCACACGUCCUACAAUGGCACGUACAAACGGAAGCAAUACCGCGAGGUGGAGCAAAUCCUAAAAGCGUGCCUCAGUUCGGAUUGCAGGCUGCAACUCGCCUGCAUGAAGCCGGAAUCGCUAGUAAUCGUAGGUCAGCAUACUACGGUGAAUGUGUUCCUGAGCCCUUUACACACCGCCCGUCAAGCCACGAAAGUUGGGAGGGCCCGAAGUCGCUAAGCUAACUCGCAAGAGAGGCAGGCGCCGAAGGUCAGCUCGACGAUUGGGACUAAGUCGUAACAA